RNAcentral lists this ribosomal RNA (472 nucleotides) under uncultured Saprospiraceae bacterium. RNAcentral describes it as "bacterial SSU rRNA". It matches the Rfam family "Bacterial small subunit ribosomal RNA", at positions 28 to 505 of the family's 1533-position model. The record is from RNAcentral. Lineage: Bacteria; Pseudomonadati; Bacteroidota; Saprospiria; Saprospirales; Saprospiraceae.
GAUGAACGCUAGCGGGAGGCCUAAUACAUGCAAGUCGAGGGGCAGCAGUUCGGCUGGCGACCGGCGAACGGGUGAGUAACGCGUACGCAAUCUACCUUUAAGAGAGGGAUAGCCCUGGGAAACUGGGAUUAAUACCUCAUGGUAUCAUUGAAUCGCAUGAUUUGAUGAUUAAAGCUUCGGCGCUUAAAGAUGAGCGUGCGUGCUAUUAGUUAGUUGGUGAGGUAACGGCUCACCAAGACGACGAUAGCUAGGGGGCGUGAGAGCGUGACCCCCCACACGGGUACUGAGACACGGACCCGACUCCUACGGGAGGCAGCAGUAAGGAAUAUUGGACAAUGGGCGCAAGCCUGAUCCAGCCAUCCCGCGUGCAGGAUGACGGCCCUAUGGGUUGUAAACUGCUUUUAUUUGGGAAGAAACGAAUUCAUUUAUGAGUUCCUGACGGUACCUUAUGAAUAAGCACCGGCUAACUCCG